UGAAGGACUGACGGGUGGAACGACACAGAGGAGCCCCAGAAACACCCACCAUGCUGCUGCCCGGAAGAGGCAGACGCGGAAGGCCAUGCGCUCUGGGACCUCAUCCAUGGGAAGCGCACAGAGGCGAGGGCUGCCGGGGGCUGGGAGGAGGCGGCACAGGAGCGCCGGCUGUGGGGAUGGUGUUUCUCCCGUGGGCGGUGGGCCAGCUGACCCUGGCACUGCACCACAAUGGGAGUGGACCGGAUGCCGCUGAACUGCCUGGACUUUCGAGGGGUAAAUUCCAAGCUCUGCUCUGAGGCCUGACCGUCCCUGGCCACCAAGUGUCUGCUGACUGAGAGCUCCAGCUCUGGAGAGGUGCCCAGUACCUGGUGAGCAGAGGGACCUGAAGGAGCAGGUGCCUCUUCCUCAGACAUCUGCAGUCACUUCACAGUGAAUGAGGCUCCAGCCGGGUGCCCUGAGAAGUGGCCAGCAUCCCACCCGGGAGAAGACCGCACAGCCACAGCCAACGUGGAGCUCUAACUCAGGGCUCCAGCCUCCAGCCCAGUCCUUUUCCUUGAGUAGGGAUGACCCCCACAGUGGCUUCUCCACAUUGCUUAGGUGGGGAGCACAUGUGGUGAAGACGGGCAGCCUGCAGGUGCCUGCUAUGCGUGGGGGCCACGGCCGAUGGAAAGCUGAAUCAGGAGUGAAAACAGAGGAAGUGUUUCUGAAAAUAUAACAAGUCAGUGGGAAAUCAA
This 734-nucleotide long non-coding RNA is filed under the name Pongo abelii (Sumatran orangutan). RNAcentral describes it as "lincRNA". Lineage: Eukaryota; Metazoa; Chordata; Mammalia; Primates; Hominidae. The record is from RNAcentral.